This 2901-nucleotide ribosomal RNA is filed under the name Klebsiella pneumoniae. RNAcentral describes it as "23S ribosomal RNA". It matches the Rfam family "Bacterial large subunit ribosomal RNA". Lineage: Bacteria; Pseudomonadati; Pseudomonadota; Gammaproteobacteria; Enterobacterales; Enterobacteriaceae. The record is from RNAcentral.
GGUUAAGCGACUAAGCGUACACGGUGGAUGCCCUGGCAGUCAGAGGCGAUGAAGGACGUGCUAAUCUGCGAAAAGCGUCGGUAAGGUGAUAUGAACCGUUAUAACCGGCGAUGUCCGAAUGGGGAAACCCAGUGCAAUUCGUUGCACUAUCGUUAACUGAAUACAUAGGUUAACGAGGCGAACCGGGGGAACUGAAACAUCUAAGUACCCCGAGGAAAAGAAAUCAACCGAGAUUCCCCCAGUAGCGGCGAGCGAACGGGGAGCAGCCCAGAGUCUGAAUCAGCUUGUGUGUUAGUGGAACGGUCUGGAAAGUCCGACGGUACAGGGUGAUAGUCCCGUACACCAAAAUGCACAGGCUGUGAACUCGAAGAGUAGGGCGGGACACGUGGUAUCCUGUCUGAAUAUGGGGGGACCAUCCUCCAAGGCUAAAUACUCCUGACUGACCGAUAGUGAACCAGUACCGUGAGGGAAAGGCGAAAAGAACCCCGGCGAGGGGAGUGAAAAAGAACCUGAAACCGUGUACGUACAAGCAGUGGGAGCACCUUCGGGUGUGACUGCGUACCUUUUGUAUAAUGGGUCAGCGACUUAUAUUCUGUAGCAAGGUUAACCGUAUAGGGGAGCCGCAGGGAAACCGAGUCUUAACUGGGCGUUAAGUUGCAGGGUAUAGACCCGAAACCCGGUGAUCUAGCCAUGGGCAGGUUGAAGGUUGGGUAACACUAACUGGAGGACCGAACCGACUAAUGUUGAAAAAUUAGCGGAUGACUUGUGGCUGGGGGUGAAAGGCCAAUCAAACCGGGAGAUAGCUGGUUCUCCCCGAAAGCUAUUUAGGUAGCGCCUCGUGAACUCAUCUUCGGGGGUAGAGCACUGUUUCGGCUAGGGGGUCAUCCCGACUUACCAACCCGAUGCAAACUACGAAUACCGAAGAAUGUUAUCACGGGAGACACACGGCGGGUGCUAACGUCCGUCGUGAAGAGGGAAACAACCCAGACCGCCAGCUAAGGUCCCAAAGUCAUGGUUAAGUGGGAAACGAUGUGGGAAGGCACAGACAGCCAGGAUGUUGGCUUAGAAGCAGCCAUCAUUUAAAGAAAGCGUAAUAGCUCACUGGUCGAGUCGGCCUGCGCGGAAGAUGUAACGGGGCUAAACCAUGCACCGAAGCUGCGGCAGCGACACUAUGUGUUGUUGGGUAGGGGAGCGUUCUGUAAGCCUGCGAAGGUGUGCUGUGAGGCAUGCUGGAGGUAUCAGAAGUGCGAAUGCUGACAUAAGUAACGAUAAAGCGGGUGAAAAGCCCGCUCGCCGGAAGACCAAGGGUUCCUGUCCAACGUUAAUCGGGGCAGGGUGAGUCGACCCCUAAGGCGAGGCCGAAAGGCGUAGUCGAUGGGAAACAGGUUAAUAUUCCUGUACUUGGUGUUACUGCGAAGGGGGGACGGAGAAGGCUAUGUUAGCCGGGCGACGGUUGUCCCGGUUUAAGCAUGUAGGCUGAUUGUCCAGGCAAAUCCGGAUAAUCAAGGCUGAGGUGUGAUGACGAGGCACUACGGUGCUGAAGUAACAAAUGCCCUGCUUCCAGGAAAAGCCUCUAAGCAUCAGGUAACAUUAAAUCGUACCCCAAACCGACACAGGUGGUCAGGUAGAGAAUACCAAGGCGCUUGAGAGAACUCGGGUGAAGGAACUAGGCAAAAUGGUGCCGUAACUUCGGGAGAAGGCACGCUGGUGUGUAGGUGAAGUCCCUGCGGAUGGAGCUGAGACCAGUCGAAGAUACCAGCUGGCUGCAACUGUUUAUUAAAAACACAGCACUGUGCAAACACGAAAGUGGACGUAUACGGUGUGACGCCUGCCCGGUGCCGGAAGGUUAAUUGAUGGGGUUAUCCGUAAGGAGAAGCUCUUGAUCGAAGCCCCGGUAAACGGCGGCCGUAACUAUAACGGUCCUAAGGUAGCGAAAUUCCUUGUCGGGUAAGUUCCGACCUGCACGAAUGGCGUAAUGAUGGCCAGGCUGUCUCCACCCGAGACUCAGUGAAAUUGAACUCGCUGUGAAGAUGCAGUGUACCCGCGGCAAGACGGAAAGACCCCGUGAACCUUUACUAUAGCUUGACACUGAACAUUGAGCCUUGAUGUGUAGGAUAGGUGGGAGGCUUUGAAGCGUGGACGCCAGUCUGCGUGGAGCCAACCUUGAAAUACCACCCUUUAAUGUUUGAUGUUCUAACGUUGGCCCCUUACCGGGGUUGCGGACAGUGUCUGGUGGGUAGUUUGACUGGGGCGGUCUCCUCCCAAAGCGUAACGGAGGAGCACGAAGGUUAGCUAAUCCUGGUCGGACAUCAGGAGGUUAGUGCAAUGGCAUAAGCUAGCUUGACUGCGAGCGUGACGGCGCGAGCAGGUGCGAAAGCAGGUCAUAGUGAUCCGGUGGUUCUGAAUGGAAGGGCCAUCGCUCAACGGAUAAAAGGUACUCCGGGGAUAACAGGCUGAUACCGCCCAAGAGUUCAUAUCGACGGCGGUGUUUGGCACCUCGAUGUCGGCUCAUCACAUCCUGGGGCUGAAGUAGGUCCCAAGGGUAUGGCUGUUCGCCAUUUAAAGUGGUACGCGAGCUGGGUUUAGAACGUCGUGAGACAGUUCGGUCCCUAUCUGCCGUGGGCGCUGGAGAAUUGAGGGGGCUGCUCCUAGUACGAGAGGACCGGAGUGGACGCAUCACUGGUGUUCGGGUUGUCAUGCCAAUGGCACUGCCCGGUAGCUAAAUGCGGAAGAGAUAAGUGCUGAAAGCAUCUAAGCACGAAACUUGCCCCGAGAUGAGUUCUCCCUGAGACUUUAAGUCUCCUGAAGGAACGUUAAAGACGAUGACGUUGAUAGGCCGGGUGUGUAAGCGCAGCGAUGCGUUGAGCUAACCGGUACUAAUGAACCGUGAGGCUUAACCUU